AAAUUGAAGAGUUUGAUCAUGGCUCAGAUUGAACGCUGGCGGCAGGCCUAACACAUGCAAGUCGAGCGGAAACGAGUUAUUUAAACCUUCGGGGAACGAUAACGGCGUCGAGCGGCGGACGGGUGAGUAAUGCCUAGGAAAUUGCCCUGAUGUGGGGGAUAACCAUUGGAAACGAUGGCUAAUACCGCAUGAUGCCUACGGGCCAAAGAGGGGGACCUUCGGGCCUCUCGCGUCAGGAUAUGCCUAGGUGGGAUUAGCUAGUUGGUGAGGUAAGGGCUCACCAAGGCGACGAUCCCUAGCUGGUCUGAGAGGAUGAUCAGCCACACUGGAACUGAGACACGGUCCAGACUCCUACGGGAGGCAGCAGUGGGGAAUAUUGCACAAUGGGCGCAAGCCUGAUGCAGCCAUGCCGCGUGUGUGAAGAAGGCCUUCGGGUUGUAAAGCACUUUCAGUCGUGAGGAAGGUAGUGUAGUUAAUAGCUGCAUUAUUUGACGUUAGCGACAGAAGAAGCACCGGCUAACUCCGUGCCAGCAGCCGCGGUAAUACGGAGGGUGCGAGCGUUAAUCGGAAUUACUGGGCGUAAAGCGCAUGCAGGUGGUUUGUUAAGUCAGAUGUGAAAGCCCGGGGCUCAACCUCGGAAUAGCAUUUGAAACUGGCAGACUAGAGUACUGUAGAGGGGGGUAGAAUUUCAGGUGUAGCGGUGAAAUGCGUAGAGAUCUGAAGGAAUACCGGUGGCGAAGGCGGCCCCCUGGACAGAUACUGACACUCAGAUGCGAAAGCGUGGGGAGCAAACAGGAUUAGAUACCCUGGUAGUCCACGCCGUAAACGAUGUCUACUUGGAGGUUGUGGCCUUGAGCCGUGGCUUUCGGAGCUAACGCGUUAAGUAGACCGCCUGGGGAGUACGGUCGCAAGAUUAAAACUCAAAUGAAUUGACGGGGGCCCGCACAAGCGGUGGAGCAUGUGGUUUAAUUCGAUGCAACGCGAAGAACCUUACCUACUCUUGACAUCCAGAGAACUUUCCAGAGAUGGAUUGGUGCCUUCGGGAACUCUGAGACAGGUGCUGCAUGGCUGUCGUCAGCUCGUGUUGUGAAAUGUUGGGUUAAGUCCCGCAACGAGCGCAACCCUUAUCCUUGUUUGCCAGCGAGUAAUGUCGGGAACUCCAGGGAGACUGCCGGUGAUAAACCGGAGGAAGGUGGGGACGACGUCAAGUCAUCAUGGCCCUUACGAGUAGGGCUACACACGUGCUACAAUGGCGCAUACAGAGGGCGGCCAACUUGCGAAAGUGAGCGAAUCCCAAAAAGUGCGUCGUAGUCCGGAUUGGAGUCUGCAACUCGACUCCAUGAAGUCGGAAUCGCUAGUAAUCGUGGAUCAGAAUGCCACGGUGAAUACGUUCCCGGGCCUUGUACACACCGCCCGUCACACCAUGGGAGUGGGCUGCAAAAGAAGUAGGUAGUUUAACCUUCGGGGGGACGCUUACCACUUUGUGGUUCAUGACUGGGGUGAAGUCGUAACAAGGUAGCGCUAGGGGAACCUGGCGCUGGAUCACCUCCUUAAACGAUGAU
This 1562-nucleotide ribosomal RNA is filed under the name Vibrio alginolyticus. RNAcentral describes it as "bacterial SSU rRNA". It matches the Rfam family "Bacterial small subunit ribosomal RNA". The record is from RNAcentral. Lineage: Bacteria; Pseudomonadati; Pseudomonadota; Gammaproteobacteria; Vibrionales; Vibrionaceae.